Molecule: ribosomal RNA, 1257 nt
Filed under: Lucanus fortunei
Lineage: Eukaryota; Metazoa; Arthropoda; Insecta; Coleoptera; Lucanidae
Description: 16S ribosomal RNA
Rfam family: Bacterial large subunit ribosomal RNA (bases 801-1257)
Source: RNAcentral
UUAUAAAAUUAAUUAUUUAUUUGUUUUUGGGGAAUUAACCUUUUGUUUUUGUAAUUUUUGAUAGGAUAGAUUUAGUUAUAGGGGAUUUGUAUUGUGAAAGAUGUAGUUAAAUAGUAAAAAGAAUACUUUGUUUGUUGUACCUUUUGUAUCAGGGUUUAUUAAAACUAGUUUUUUAUAAAAUUUUCUCGAAUUUUGGAGGGCUAAAUACUAAUAUAUUUUAAUGUAGAAAAAUUAUUUAUAAUUAGUUUUUUGUAAUUAUACGUUAGUCGUUCUUUAUUAUAUCUAGUUUCUUAAGAAAUUAAUUUAAUUAACCGGAGUAAAUCAAUUUUUUAUUUGGGAAAAAGAUUUUUGUGUUUGGAAUGUUUAGAGGGAAAAGCUUUUAGGCAUAUUUAUAUAACAGUGAAAGGUUUUGGAAUGGCGUAGGAUUAGAAGUUUCCAUUUAUAGUGUGUUUUAACUAGGUUCUUGGUGUGAUUUAUUUUUAUUUGUUUAAGUAUUUUAUUAAGAUAAGGGCUUUAAUAUUGAGGUUUUGUGAUAAUGAUGGAAUUAGUAGAAUUGUAUGUAUUAAAAUAUUCUUGGAUUUUAUAUUAUUUUAAGGAAUUAGGCAAAUUUCUUUUCGCCUGUUUAAUAAAAACAUGGCUUUUUGGAAUAGAUUUAAGGUCAGGCCUGCCCAAUGAUAAUUUAAAUGGCUGCGGUAUACUGACCGUGCAAAGGUAGCAUAAUCAUUAGUUUUUUUAUUGAAAGCUGGAAUGAAGGGUUUAACGAGAAAGAAGCUGUCUUAAUUUAAUUAUUUGAAUUUUAUGUUUGAGUGAGAAAGCUUAAAUAGGUUUGAGGGACGAGAAGACCCUAUAGAAUUUAAUAGUUUAGAUGUUUUGGAGUUUUGGUUUAGUAUGGCUAGGAUGGGUAAGACUAUUUUGUUGGGGUGAUUAGGGAAAUUUGAUUAACUUUUUUUUGUUUUUGUCAUUAGUAAAUGAGUGUUGAUCCAUUUAGAGUGAUUAUAAGAAGAAAUUACCUUAGGGAUAACAGCGUAAUUAAUCUGGAGAGUUCAAAUCGAUAGAUUAGUUUGCGACCUCGAUGUUGGAUUAAAAUUGGCUUUUGGUGUAGGGACUAUUGGGCUGAGUCUGUUCGACUUUUAAAAUUUUACAUGAUCUGAGUUUAAACCGGCGUGAGCCAGGUUGGUUUCUAUCUUCAGGAAGAUAAAAUUUUUUAGUACGAAAGGACCAAAAAUUUUCUAUAGUAGGUAUGUGUUGAUGAGAAUU